UACGUAGGGGGCAAGCGUUGUCCGGAUUUAUUGGGCGUAAAGCGCGUGUAGGCGGCAAGGUGUGUCGUGCGUGAAAUCUCCCGGCUUAACUGGGAGGGGCCGUGCGAAACUGCCUGGCUUGAGGUCGGAAGGGGAAAGUGGAAUUCCGGGUGUAGUGGUGGAAUACGUAGAUAUCCGGAGGAACACCAGCGGCGAAGGCGGCUUUCUGGUCCGAUACUGACGCUGAGACGCGAAAGCGUGGGGAGCGAUCCGG
This 253-nucleotide ribosomal RNA is filed under the name uncultured bacterium. Its description in RNAcentral is "partial 16S ribosomal RNA". It matches the Rfam family "Bacterial small subunit ribosomal RNA", at positions 524 to 776 of the family's 1533-position model. The record is from RNAcentral. RNAcentral also lists the same sequence under 1 other name.